UCAGGCCUAACACAUGCAAGUCGAACGGUAACAUUUCUAGCUUGCUAGAAGAUGACGAGUGGCGGACGGGUGAGUAAUGCUUGGGAACUUGCCUUUGCGAGGGGGAUAACAGUUGGAAACGACUGCUAAUACCGCAUAAUGUCUACGGACCAAACGGGGCUUCGGCUCCGGCGCAAAGAGAGGCCCAAGUGAGAUUAGCUAGUUGGUAAGGUAACGGCUUACCAAGGCGACGAUCUCUAGCUGUUCUGAGAGGAAGAUCAGCCACACUGGGACUGAGACACGGCCCAGACUCCUACGGGAGGCAGCAGUGGGGAAUAUUGCACAAUGGGGGAAACCCUGAUGCAGCCAUGCCGCGUGUGUGAAGAAGGCCUUCGGGUUGUAAAGCACUUUCAGUUGUGAGGAAAAGUUAGUAGUUAAUACCUGCUAGCCGUGACGUUAACAACAGAAGAAGCACCGGCUAACUCCGUGCCAGCAGCCGCGGUAAUACGGAGGGUGCGAGCGUUAAUCGGAAUUACUGGGCGUAAAGCGCACGCAGGCGGUUUGUUAAGCUAGAUGUGAAAGCCCCGGGCUCAACCUGGGAUGGUCAUUUAGAACUGGCAGACUAGAGUCUUGGAGAGGGGAGUGGAAUUCCAGGUGUAGCGGUGAAAUGCGUAGAUAUCUGCAGGAACAUCAGUGGCGAAGGCGACUCCCUGGCCAAACA
Molecule: ribosomal RNA, 700 nt
Filed under: uncultured bacterium
Lineage: Bacteria
Description: bacterial SSU rRNA
Rfam family: Bacterial small subunit ribosomal RNA
Source: RNAcentral